Molecule: ribosomal RNA, 1425 nt
Filed under: Triticum aestivum (bread wheat)
Lineage: Eukaryota; Viridiplantae; Streptophyta; Magnoliopsida; Poales; Poaceae
Description: partial small subunit ribosomal RNA
Source: RNAcentral
AUGGGGAUGAGAUGCCACGUCGUCGCGGUGCUGGGCGUGGCCUGCACUGUGGCCGCCGCCGUCGCCGCCGACAGGGAGCUGUCGUUCGCCGGCGCCGUGGCGCCGCCGGAGGAAGCGAGCUACCUGCGCAAGCUGGCCUGCUCCCUGUGGCAGAGUGACGGAACCACCUACCACCACGUGUGGCCGCCCAUGAAAUUUGGGUGGAAAAUCGUGUUGGGGUCAUUCAUUGGAUUCUUCGGGGCAGCGUUCGGCAGCAUCGGCGGUGUAGGUGGUGGUGGGAUCUUUGUGCCGAUGCUGACCCUGAUCAUUGGCUUUGAUCCCAAGUCAUCCGCGGCGAUGUCAAAAUGUAUGAUCAUGGGGGCUGCCGUGUCAACCGUGUACUGUAACCUCAAGCUGAAGCACCCGACAUUGGACAUGCCAGUGAUAGACUAUGAUCUGGCCCUACUCAUUCAGCCCAUGCUCAUGCUAGGGGUCAGCAUUGGGGUUAUCUGCAAUGUGAUAUUCCCUGACUGGCUCGUCACAGUCCUCUUGAUCAUUCUCUUCAUAGUUACUUCAACCAAAGCUUUUCUGAAGGCUGUAGAAACAUGGAAGAAAGAGACGAUAAUCAUAACGGAGACAGCAAAACAAUCACAGCAAACAAACGAAGAACAGGUGUACAUGCCGCUGUCUGCAGGACUUGACGCCGCAUCUCAGUCUGAAAUUCUGUCAGAUGAUGAUCAAAAUGAAACCCCAUCAGACGAAGCGGUAUCCAUUUGGAAGAAUGUUUACUGGAAGGAGGUUGGCCUUCUUGCCUUCGUUUGGGUAGCAUUCCUUGCGCUUCAAGUCACUAAGAACUACAUGGCAACUUGCUCCAUCUGGUACUGGGUUCUGAACUUACUCCAGAUCCCUGUGUCUGUUGGGGUGGCCAUGUACGAAGCAGUAGGUUUGGUGCAGGGGAGGAGGGUGAUAUCAUCAAAGAAGAACGAGCAUAACAGCCUGAGAGCUCAUCAGCUAUUGGUAUACUGCUUCUUGGGCGUCACUGCUGGUGUCGUCGCCGGUCUGCUUGGCGUUGGUGGGGGCUCCAUCAUGGGGCCUCUCUUCCUGGAGCUCGGUGUUCCUCCGCAAGUCGCAAGUGCUACAGCCACCUUCGCGAUGAUGUUCUCAUCUUCCAUGUCCGUCGUAGAGUACUACCUCCUGAACCGGUUCCCUGUGCCAUAUGCUGUCUACUUGACCAUCCUGGCGUUUUUCGCUGCGAUCAUUGGCCAGAGGGUUGUGAGGAAGCUAAUUGAUCUGCUAGGGCGGGCGUCGAUCAUCGUCUUCAUAUUGUCCUUCAUGAUCUUCAUCAGCGCACUCUCUCUAGGCGGAGUCGGCAUCUCCAACACGAUCCACAAGUUCGCACGGCAUGAGUACAUGGGAUUCGAGAACAUCUGCAAAUAUGACGCGUAG